Molecule: ribosomal RNA, 2796 nt
Filed under: Neoechinorhynchus cristatus
Lineage: Eukaryota; Metazoa; Acanthocephala; Eoacanthocephala; Neoechinorhynchida; Neoechinorhynchidae
Description: partial 28S ribosomal RNA
Rfam family: Eukaryotic large subunit ribosomal RNA
Source: RNAcentral
AAAGGACUUUGAAAAGAGAGUUAAAUAGGGCGUGAAACUGCACACUGAAAAGCGAAUGAGUACACAUGGGUUCGUGCUGCUAUUCAAGUGCGUUUGGUAGACUUUUAUGUAGGCGUUAAUGCAUAUCUUACUAGUUAUCAAACGUACUGCAUUUGGUGGCUUGACGUUCUGCUUGGCUUCAUGACAGCUGCAGCCACAGUGAAGUAAUCCUCUCCUUUUUGGGGAUGGAUUUGUCACUCGUAGCCUCGUUAUGUUAACAAUAGAGAAAAUCUGUUCUUGGACUGCUGUGUUCACUAAAUGAGGGCACAGUCGUCAGCUGGAAUGAAGUUUGAGAUACUCUGUGUCACAGAACCUCAAGAUGACUGUUUGGUUGAACGUGCUUUUGCACGUAAUGCGAUUUGGUUAUAUCGGUUAUGUGAAUGACUAAAGCAGAUUGUGUUGUGGCAUCAUUUGAACCGUCUUGAAACACGGGCUAAGGAGUUCAACAGAUGCGCGAGUUGGUUGGUUUUUCGAAAUCAUACGGCUAAGUUAACGCGACUUUGUGUAUAAUGGAGAGAACUUGUUUGCUUUUAAGUAUAACGAGAUCACCUCCUGUGAUGGAUGGCAUUUCGAGUACCGGUUGCUGUUCGCAGUCGAGCGCAUAUGCUGAGACCCGAAAGAUGGUGAACUAUGCCUGAGUAGGAUGAAGCCGGAGGAAACUCUGGUGGAGGUCCGAAGCGUUUUUGACGUGCAAAUCAAUCGUCAGACUUGGGUAUAGGGGCGAAAGACUAAUCGAACCAUCUAGUAGCUGGUUCCCUUCGAAGUUUCCCCCAGGAAAGCUGGUGCCAUGUUUGACAGUUUUAUCUGGUAAAGCGAAUGAUUAGAGGCAUUGGGGACGAAUUGUUCUCGACCUAUUCUCAAACUUUAAAUGGGUAAUGUACCGAUGUACUUCUUGAUAUCUUGAGUUCUCGGUCAAAUGCAAUGGCACCAAGUGGGCCAUUUUUGGUAAGCAGAACUGGCGAUGUGGGAUGAACCAAACGUUGAGCUAGGAUGCCCAAAGUGCUUCUCAUGAGAUACCAUGAAAGGUGUCAGUCGAUAUUGACAGCAGGACGGUGGCCGCAGAAGUAGGAAUCCGCUAAGGAGUGUGUAACAACUCACCUGCCGAAUCGACUGGUCCUGAAAAUGGAUGGCGCUGGAGACGUAUAUCCAUGCUCGACCGUCAAUGCCAAUUUAAGCGAUUGCUAUAUGGUUUGACGUGUAGAAGGGCGAUUGCCGUGGCGUCGAAACUUGCACCGUGAGGUGGGGUAGAGCUGCGGCAUGUGCAGAUCUUGGUGGUAGUAGCAAGUAUUCAAAUGAGAGCAUUGAAGACUGAAGUGGAGUAAGGUUCCAUGUGAACAUCAUUUGGACAUGGAUCAGCCGAUCCUAAGAGAACGUGUAAGUUCGUGAUUAAGCGCGUCGCCUUGUGCGUCGCAAUCGAAAGGGAAUCGGGUUAAUAUUCCCGAGCCAGGAUACGGAAUGUGUCUGAUUCAUCGAUAAUGCCUCGUGUAUUUUCGACUUCAGACAAGAGCGGCAACGCUAGCAAACCCAGAGAUUAACUAUGCGAAGUCCGGGGAAGAGUUUUCUCUUCUUUGUAAGGAAUGUUAUCCCUGGAAUCAGAUUGUCUGGCGAUAGGGUACGCAUUCCGUAAUGCAACGCGAUUCCUGCGAUGUACCGUGCACUUCGUAUAGUGCUUGAAAAUCUGGGGGGCGAGUUUGUUCAGGCCGUACCUGUUCGUACUGAUUUCCGCAGCAGGUCUCCAAGGUGAGCAGCCUCUAGUCRAUGGGACAAAGUAGACAAGGGAAGUCGGCAAAUUAGAUCCGUAACUUCGGAAAAAGGAUUGGCUCUAAAGGCUGAGUUGGUCGGGCGGUUGUGUGAAGCUGGAGGCGAAGCUAUGUCUCUGUCUCAGACUCAGUUCUCGCAAGGGAAACCGGGUCGAGGACGGAGCUUGGUCAACGCCCUCAGUGGACCGCGGUCGCUAUGCCACCCGUGUGUAAUUCUCAACGCAAGUCAAGAACCAUGCGACGUGGAUCCGAUCAGCGUUAAACAGCUGACCUAGAACUGGUAUGGACAAGGGGAAUCCAACUGUUUAAUUAAAACAAAGCAUUGCGAUAGCUGUAAUCGGUGUUGACGCGAUGUGAUUUCUGCCCAGUGCUCUGAAUGUUAAAGUGAAGGAACUCAUCCAAGCGCGAGUUAACGGCGGAAGUAACUAUGACUUUCUUAAGGUAGCCAAAUGCCUCGUCAUCUAAUUAGUGACGUGCAUGAAUGGAUUAUUGAGAUUCCUUCUGUCCCUGUCUGCAACCUAGCGAAACCACAGCCAAGGGAACGGGCUUGGAGAGUAACAGCGGGGAAAGAAGACCCUGUUGAGCUUGACUCUAGUCAGUCUCUGUGAAGAAACAUGAUGGGUGUAGAAUAGGUGGGAGGACGCAACAGUGAAAUACCACUACCAUCAUCGUUUCUUUACUUACUCAAUUGAUCAGGGAGCGUGAAUUCGCUAUUUGCGAUGUAUGAUUAUUCCUUUAGUGGAAUAAGUGUCUGGUUUGAGAACACAGACUGAUUGGGAGUUUGACUGGGGCGGUACAUCUGUUAAAAUCUAACGCAGGUGUCCUAAGGCAAUCUCAGCGUGGACAGAAACCUCGCAUAGAGCGAAAGGGCAAAAGAUUGCUUGAUCUUGAUUUUCAGUACGAAUAAAGACAAUGAAAGUUUGGCUUGUCGAUCCUUUUGAAUUUUACGAGUUUUAAGCAAGAGGUGUCAGAAAAGUUACCACAGGGAUAACUGGCU